RNAcentral lists this transfer RNA (81 nucleotides) under Blumeria graminis f. sp. tritici. It matches the Rfam family "tRNA". From Rfam's summary of the family: Transfer RNA (tRNA) molecules are approximately 80 nucleotides in length. Their secondary structure includes four short double-helical elements and three loops (D, anti-codon, and T loops). Further hydrogen bonds mediate the characteristic L-shaped molecular structure. tRNAs have two regions of fundamental functional importance: the anti-codon, which is responsible for specific mRNA codon recognition, and the 3' end, to which the tRNAs corresponding amino acid is attached (by aminoacyl-tRNA synthetases). tRNAs cope with the degeneracy of the genetic code in two manners: having more than one tRNA (with a specific anti-codon) for a particular amino acid; and 'wobble' base-pairing, i.e. permitting non-standard base-pairing at the 3rd anti-codon position. Lineage: Eukaryota; Fungi; Ascomycota; Leotiomycetes; Helotiales; Erysiphaceae. RNAcentral also lists the same sequence under 1 other name. The record is from Rfam by way of RNAcentral.
GCAUCAGUGGUUUAGUGGUAAAAUCCAUCGUUGCCACUCAAUGAUAUCGACGGGCCCCGUGUUCGAUUCACGGCUGAUGCA